AGAUCCCAAACUCUGCAUGAAUCCAUCUUCAUAUUCAAGUUUCUUCACUUUGAAGAAACCUUGAAAAACCUUCACCUCAACCUUCUACGUUGAUAAAUCUUCAUCACAAUCCAUUGAAGCAUUGCUUAGUGUCAUUACACAUUCAAACACUUGCCAAAAACAUAUUCAAUGCUUGAAUGUGUAAUGACAUUAAGCAAUGCUUCAAUGGACAAAACACCUUCAAAAUUCAUAUUCAACUUGAAUUUGAAUUUUGAAAAUUUGGUUCAAUUCAAGUUAUUUUUGGUUGGAAGAGAUAAAGGAGACUAUAAGAGUCUAAACCUGCAAAGAAAAGUAGAAAACAAUCUUCGUCGGAGCCAGAUCGGAGCAUCAUCAAAAUCUGGAGUUGCUGGCCGGAAAGUUCACCGACGUUCAUCGUGCGCUUGAGAUAUUUGCUAUAGGUAAGCUUUGAUCUUCAUCUUUUAAUUUAUUUAUUUGCAUCAUUUGCUACUGCACACCUCACACAUCAUAACCCAAAGUCAAUUACACUAAAUUGCUUUGAAUUGGUUGAAUAUGGAGAUCUAAGGUUCUUAAGCUCAUAAAUGUUCAUGAAAAUUCAUGAGCUCCAACCUAGAAAUCUUCAUACAGACCUGUUUAAAACAAAUUUCAAUCCAUAUUUGUUCACAAUACAAUUCAAAACAUGUAUCCUCAAUUAAUUUCACAUGAAAACAUUAUGUAUGGCCGGAUUGAGACACUUUAGGUUUUGCUUUAAAUGUCAGAUGUCAACCAAAUUUGUUGUUGAUGCAUGCUUAUUGAUUAGUGUGUUGUGUUUGUGAUGGUUCAUAUAUCAUUUCUAUAUAUUUUUCUGUUUAAUUUCGUGCAUGAGUUUGGAUUUGGGAGUUGAUGGUGGUUAAAGCUUCGUCUAUGUUUGGAUGCGUGGGAGGAAGGAAAUUAAUUUCCAGAUUCAACCUCAUCUGUCAGAUCCAUCUGUUUGUUUUGAUUUUUUUUAUCUGAGGGCCACGUGGCUUAAUCAGAUCCACUAGAUCUUGGCAUAAAGGGACUCAUGUACAUGAGCUCCUACCAUAGUCUCUGAACCCUAUGCAUCUUAAUCUGGUGGUAUAUAUUACUUGAUCUUGAGAUUCAAUCAGAGCAUUUAAUCCUCAUUAGAUUGCCACGCGCGUGCCCUUUGCUUAUUCCCUUAUAUUUUGACAUUUUGGCCUAUCUGAUUUGGGCCAAGCCCUUUUGAUGACUCAUACACCCCUUUUCCUUUAGCACCCUUUGAUGGUGUUUUGUGCAAUUUUGGACGGGCCCUCUAAUUUGGGCCCAAGCGUGCCUUACUAGACCACACCAUUCCUUUCCUGUUUCACACUUUGUUUCUUUUUGCUUUGUUUUGUAUACACUUGAGAUUAGGCCUUAAGCCCAUUAUUUUAUUUCUAUUUCAAUCUCUCAUGUGAACUCUUACAUUCCCCUUUGCCUAUUUUUAUUUAUAAUAUUGUCCUUUUAUGUCCAAUUAAUAUCGAUGGCUUUAUUUUAUUUGUGAUUAUUAUUAAUGAAAAUCAACUUGAAAAUAACACUCAACCUUGCUUCUUAAUAAAAAAAACACUUCAAAUAUUUUUCUUAAUAAAUCAGAUGAAAAUGGACUAGUUGGAUGUAUAUCCUUAUUUUCCCCACCCUGAGUACUUGGAUACCUGCUGUAUAGAUUGUCUUUCAAGUACUUGUCAAUCUUCAAAAACUUUAACUCGAUUCAUAUCAAAUCUUUUUCGCAAUUAAAUCGGAUCAAAAAUGACUAGUUUGAUGUAUAACCCUAUUUUCCCCAAGUAUUUGAAUAUCUGUUGUAUAACUUGCCUGGUCAUCUUCAAAAGACUUUAACUAUCAAUAUUUCUUACAAUUAAAUCGGAUGAAAAAUGACUAGUUGGAUGUAUAUCCCUCCUUUCCCCCGAGUACUUGGAUAAUUGUUGUAUAACUUGCAUUUCAAGUACUCGUCAUCUUCAAAAGACUUUAAAUCGAUAUAUAUAUAUAUCAAAUCUUUUUUGCAACUAAAUCACAUGAAAAAUGACUAGUUGGAUGUAUAUCCUUCUUAUCCUUGAGUACUUGGAUACCUGCUGUAUAGCUUGCCUUUCAAGUACUUGUCAUCUUUAUAAGACUUUAAUUCGUUUCAUAUCAAACCUUUUCACAAUCAAAUCGGAUACAAAGGACUAGUUGGAUGUAUAUCCCUCUUUUCCCCGAGUAUUUGGAUACUUGCUGAUUAACUUGUCUUUCGAAUACUCGUCUUCCACCCAAAAACAAACUCAAUCAAUCAAACUCAUUUUUUUCCAAGUGCAGUAAAAAAUCAAACUUUUUUCAUGAAUGAACAUUAUUUUAUCCAUUCCGACGUGACAUGCAAACAAAUGUUCCAGCCUCCCAUGCACGAGUAACAAGCAAUGUUUAACCGCUCAAAUGAGACACGAAUAUCAUUCACUAAAAUCAACCAACACACAAAUAUUUGCUACAGAGAACUACGUAGUUUUGAAUUCCUCAUCGCACCGGUGGAUAUGUAGGAGAAAUAUUUGAAUCUUGUCAAGCACCAUAAUAAAAAUCAACAUGUUCUUGCAAAGAACUAUGUAUCUUUGAAUUCCUUAAUGCACCAGAGGGUACGUGGGAGCGAGAUUCAACGACUCGUCAAACACCAUAAUAAAAACUAAUUUGUUCUCGCUCAGAACUAUGUAGCUUUGAAUUCCUCAUCACACACGGGGAUACGUAAAAUCAAGAUUCAACGUUUCAUCAAGCACCAUAAUAAAAAACUAAAUUUUAGUUUUUAUUUUUUCAUGCUUUUAUUAAUUAUAAGAAAUCAAAUAACAUAUGCUAACACUCUUAUUCACAAAGCUGACUAAAUGGUUUCCGUUAAGUACAACGAAUGUAUGACUGCUAAUACCUUCCCAUUCAUAACCGAAACUCGAACUUGAAUUUGGUUGUAACGACCAUAUUUUUGUUCUUUUAAGGUUUUAUAGAUGUUUUCCCUUUAAAAAAAUAAACUUCGGUGAUGACUCUAUUGUUAUUUCGAGCGUUCAUACGCUCAGGUAUUUUUCGUGUCGCGAUAACGGUCAGUUGCAUUGGAAUGCUAACACGAUAACCUUUAUGUUGAAAUGAGGAAAUGAGAUAUGAGGGCGCUACACCAGUAGCAAUUCUCUAGUUUUCAUUCCAGGAGCGUAAUCAAAUCUCAAUCUAGUAUUAGUCAUCUUGUUUCACGCGUAACUUGGGUUUCAUAAGUUCGUUUGAAGUUCAGUCAACUAUGUUAGAAACUCAACCUACUUUCAUGCUAGUAUGAUGUAUGAACAAACCAUCAAUAAUAAUCCUUCCUAACCUCAUUCCUCUUUGAAACACAUUCAUUUGAAUUGCCAUAUAAGGUCUUCAUAACAAUUUCCUUAUAACACAUUUCCAUCACUACCACAUAAGGGUUUCACUUAAUUCAUGUCAAUCAUUCAUAGUUUACCACAAUCACACCGAUACAAUAAUAUCACUAAUAUUUAUCACAAGAAAGGUAUACGGACGUCUAGGAGAGUGUCGUAGUACGAAUGUAUAUCACAUGUACUCCUAUACUGUAGAACUCAAAAGAGUGUCAUGGUACGAAUGUAGCCCACGUGUACUCUUAGAAUGUUGAGCCUAUAGAAAGUGUUAUGGUACGGAGCGUGUCCCACAUGUACUUCCAUGAAUAUACUAUGAGUUCAGUGUUUGGCACCACAUGCAUGCAGAGUAUAUGUUGUCGUGCAUUCCAUAACAUUGAUGUGUAUUGAUGUGUGAUUGUAUGAAUUAACAUGGUAUCUGUCAUACUGUGAUGACGAUUGUGAAUAUUUGUGUUGUAUUACCUUGUUAUUGUUAUACAAUUUAUUUUUGUAAAAUGUAUUCUCACCCCUUUCUUUCUUGUUUGUAUGAUGUACCUUUGAACAUGAUACACUCAGGAUGAGACUGAGGAAUAGUUGCUCUGUGAGGUGAUCCAGUGAAGAUGGUGUAGAAGGUCAUCUUAGUCUUAUGUGUAUUAUGAUGCUAACGUAUGUUAGUCAGUUAGGGAUUGAGUCUAAAUAAAGUUAUGAUAUAGUGACAUCAAAGAUGGGGUUGCAAUUUAAAUUAUUUUUUUGCUUUUUGACUUUCAAUAAUUUAUUGUGAAUCUUGAACAUGUUAUCCAAGUAUGUGAAUUUUCUAAUGUAUGUUAUAAGUAAUGUGUGAUACCAUGUGUUUUUAAUGCUAUUUAUCAUAUAAAUUAUUCCACAA
Molecule: long non-coding RNA, 4221 nt
Filed under: Lathyrus oleraceus (garden pea)
Lineage: Eukaryota; Viridiplantae; Streptophyta; Magnoliopsida; Fabales; Fabaceae
Description: Pisum sativum (pea) long non-coding RNA (PSAT_LNC032396)
Source: RNAcentral